UUAACUUAAAUUUGUAUGCAGUUGGGACAGCGCCCCUAGCGGCAAACGUAGGCAAACUUUCCAACUCUAUACAAAUUUCAGUUA
This 84-nucleotide microRNA precursor is filed under the name Bombyx mori (domestic silkworm). RNAcentral describes it as "mir-2807 microRNA precursor family". It matches the Rfam family "mir-2807 microRNA precursor family". Lineage: Eukaryota; Metazoa; Arthropoda; Insecta; Lepidoptera; Bombycidae. The record is from Rfam by way of RNAcentral.